RNAcentral lists this ribosomal RNA (465 nucleotides) under Vreelandella stevensii. RNAcentral's name for it is "partial 16S ribosomal RNA". It matches the Rfam family "Bacterial small subunit ribosomal RNA", at positions 338 to 795 of the family's 1533-position model. The record is from RNAcentral. Lineage: Bacteria; Pseudomonadati; Pseudomonadota; Gammaproteobacteria; Oceanospirillales; Halomonadaceae.
CCUACGUGAUGCAGCAGUGGGGAAUAUUGGACAAUGGGCGAAAGCCUGAUCCAGCCAUGCCGCGUGUGUGAAGAAGGCCUUCGGGUUGUAAAGCACUUUCAGUGGGGAAGAAAGCCUUGGGGCUAAUACCCUCGAGGAAGGACAUCACCCACAGAAGAAGCACCGGCUAACUCCGUGCCAGCAGCCGCGGUAAUACGGAGGGUGCGAGCGUUAAUCGGAAUUACUGGGCGUAAAGCGCGCGUAGGCGGUCUGAUAAGCCGGUUGUGAAAGCCCCGGGCUCAACCUGGGAACGGCAUCCGGAACUGUCAGGCUAGAGUGCAGGAGAGGAAGGUAGAAUUCCCGGUGUAGCGGUGAAAUGCGUAGAGAUCGGGAGGAAUACCAGUGGCGAAGGCGGCCUUCUGGACUGACACUGACGCUGAGGUGCGAAAGCGUGGGUAGCAAACAGGAUUAGAUACCCCUGUAGUC